RNAcentral lists this ribosomal RNA (223 nucleotides) under Escherichia coli. RNAcentral describes it as "partial 16S ribosomal RNA". It matches the Rfam family "Bacterial small subunit ribosomal RNA", at positions 1 to 220 of the family's 1533-position model. The record is from RNAcentral. Lineage: Bacteria; Pseudomonadati; Pseudomonadota; Gammaproteobacteria; Enterobacterales; Enterobacteriaceae.
AAAUUGAAGAGUUUGAUCAUGGCUCAGAUUGAACGCUGGCGGCAGGCCUAACACAUGCAAGUCGAACGGUAACAGGAAGCAGCUUGCUGCUUCGCUGACGAGUGGCGGACGGGUGAGUAAUGUCUGGGAAACUGCCUGAUGGAGGGGGAUAACUACUGGAAACGGUAGCUAAUACCGCAUAACGUCGAAAGACCAAAGAGGGGGACCUUCGGGCCUCUUGCCA